This 479-nucleotide ribosomal RNA is filed under the name uncultured bacterium. Its description in RNAcentral is "bacterial SSU rRNA". It matches the Rfam family "Bacterial small subunit ribosomal RNA", at positions 28 to 507 of the family's 1533-position model. The record is from RNAcentral.
GAUGAACGCUAGCGGCAGGCUAACACAUGCAAGUCGAGGGGUAGAAGGAGCUUGCUCCUUUGAGACCGGCGCACGGGUGCGUAACGCGUAUGCAAUCUACCUUGUACAGGGGAAUAGCCCAGAGAAAUUUGGAUUAAUGCCCCAUAGUAUAUAACCUUCGCAUGUUGGUUAUAUUAAAGUUCCAACGGUACAAGAUGAGCAUGCGUCCCAUUAGUUAGUUGGUAAGGUAACGGCUUACCAAGACGAUGAUGGGUAGGGGUCCUGAGAGGGAGAUCCCCCACACUGGUACUGAGACACGGACCAGACUCCUACGGGAGGCAGCAGUGAGGAAUAUUGGUCAAUGGUCGCAAGACUGAACCAGCCAUGCCGCGUGCAGGAAGACGGUCCUAUGGAUUGUAAACUGCUUUUAUACAGGAAGAAACCCUCCCACGUGUGGGAGCUUGACGGUACUGUAGGAAUAAGGAUCGGCUAACUCCGUG